GGCUUAAUCAACACGAAACGUUUUAAUAAAGAACACAAAAUACCCAAAGACUCACUCUUUGAAAGGACACGUAUUUACAUUAUUUACCAACUUCGGAAAGCCUCAGUACCCACUGUGAAUCUGUUAGGAAACAUGGCAAAGAUUUCAUGUGCUUAAGAGUAAAAGCAAGUCACGAGUCCUUUGAGGACUCUGAAGUGAAAGAGCACAUUCCCGUAUUCUAUCAGCCAAGCUAUGAAAAGGCUUCCUAGGCUAGUUCCACCCCCACCCCACACGCAUCCUUCAGACACAACUCGUGGAGAGUUGUUCUACAAAAGCCUAUUCCAUUUGGGAUGGAAUGCUGCUGGACUCUUGCAACUAAAACCGAUCCAAAAUAACAUUGAACAAAGUGUCCAAAAUUAAGUAUUUCCAGAUGGACAGGUGACAUCUCAAUUUAAUGUCAAACGAUGUUGAUAGUCAAGGGACUAAAAAAAAAAAAAUUUCUUAAAGACCAGCAGAAUAUAAAAGAAAACUUCAUUGAGCUAUGCAGCUCCCUAAUUUGCUAUGGUCUUGAUAUCACAUGAACAAUGGGCUUUGGCACGUCGAUGUAAACCAGUGAACAGAGCAUGUUUAUUGUAUUUCUGUAAUUAUUCAAGAGUGGUCAGUUUUGUCCUUAACUAUCCAAAAUUGAAUUGAAUAAAAAAAUGAAAGGCAAAAUUCACGGGUGUAUAUAUAUGUAAUUAAAAUCUUGAACCUACAGGUAAAUAGAAUAAAAUGUAAUUUCUUAUGAACUCGGCUGCUGUGAAUUGCAUGCAAGAGGUAUUCUCUUUGUAAUCUAUGGCUAGAUGCUGACACAAAAUGUGUCAGUUGUGGAGCUGGCCCGGGUGCCCUGAGACUGGCUUAAUUACAGCCUGGCUUGAGGACCUCUCCAAAAAGAAUGCCCCGAGGAGAGGAGUGAAUGUCCAAACUACAAGAAUUUCAGAAGAAUCAGGCAAGACACACAGGAUCCAGGGCAAUAAAGCUGGAAAGCCGCCUUCUCCUCUCUAUAAACGUAGCUUUGUUUGGCUCGGAUGUGCUUCACUUGCUGACCUGAUGAGCCACGAGAAGGGUACGUGGCAAGAUCAGAAAGCCCC
RNAcentral lists this long non-coding RNA (1109 nucleotides) under Sarcophilus harrisii (Tasmanian devil). RNAcentral describes it as "lncRNA (ENSSHAG00000032261.1)". The record is from RNAcentral. Lineage: Eukaryota; Metazoa; Chordata; Mammalia; Dasyuromorphia; Dasyuridae.